RNAcentral lists this ribosomal RNA (253 nucleotides) under uncultured bacterium. RNAcentral describes it as "partial 16S ribosomal RNA". It matches the Rfam family "Bacterial small subunit ribosomal RNA", at positions 524 to 776 of the family's 1533-position model. The record is from RNAcentral.
UACGUAGGGGGCAAGCGUUGUCCGGAUUUAUUGGGCGUAAAGAGCGUGUAGGCGGCCAGGUAGGUCGGCUGUGAAAACUCGAGGCUCAACCUCGAGCUGUCGGCCGAAACCAUCUGGCUAGAGUCCGGAAGAGGAGAAUGGAAUUCCCGGUGUAGCGGUGAAAUGCGCAGAUAUCGGGAGGAACCCCAAUGGCGAAGGCAGGUCUCUGGGCAUUAACUGACGCUGAGGAGCGAAAGCAUGGGGAGCGAACAGG